Molecule: non-coding RNA, 73 nt
Organism: Trichonephila clavipes
Lineage: Eukaryota; Metazoa; Arthropoda; Arachnida; Araneae; Nephilidae
Source: the annotation of a GenBank genome assembly
GUUCCUGUAGCGCAAUGGAGAGCACGUUGGAUUUCUAAUCCAAAUGUUGUGGAUACAAGUUCCAUCAGGGAUG